Long non-coding RNA from Quercus lobata, 271 nucleotides. RefSeq lists it as uncharacterized. Lineage: Eukaryota; Viridiplantae; Streptophyta; Magnoliopsida; Fagales; Fagaceae. The record is from RefSeq and is a predicted model, not a curated record. The transcript is spliced from 3 exons.
GGGACAAGAAUGAGGCACUCCAUACAUAUAGCAGAACUCUUGCAAAGUGACUGAAAGGACCCAGCAUGGACAUUCUAGAAAAACAUUUCCGACCUUGCUGUCAUAAAGAUAGACUCGUUUUAUUUGUUGUGUUUUGGAUUAGAGGGCUUUCUUCUGAUACUGAUGAAGUUAUUCUAAAGGAUGCUUUUGGACGAUGUGGUGAGCGAAUUGAAGGUGUUGGAUGGCAGAGUGUGCUACGCACACAAGCAAGAAAACAACUUGGAUCUUGGGU